Pelobates cultripes (western spadefoot toad) is the source of this 426-nucleotide non-coding RNA. Lineage: Eukaryota; Metazoa; Chordata; Amphibia; Anura; Pelobatidae. The record is from the annotation of a GenBank genome assembly.
CUCAGUCGGUCAUGGCGGCAGAAGAGCGGCUGUCUCCCCUGCACUCGCCAUGUUUGUAGGCCUCAGAUUUCUAUCAGGCAAAUGUUGCUCCAAAUGGCUCUUAGUGGUAUCAAUUUGUGCUGCUGGAUGUCGCCUCUUGUUUGGUGACUGUCUCGUAUUGAUAAAUUGACAUUUGGGCAGUGAAAGUUCACUUUAUUCGCUGCUUGCAGCAGGAGCUGUUGAGGUUUGCUUCCUGUCAUCUCUGCAGUCAGGCCCCACCCCUGUUUUGUUGUAUUCUAAAACUUUUUUCACAUUUAACGCUUCCUAUUAGAUAUGUGCAUUUGUAUGUUUAAGAAUUACAAAUUUUGUCUUGGAAUUUUCCUGCACUUGAUCCGUCAGCCACUGUAGUGGCAUAAUGAAUUAUGCAAAGAACCCAUACGAUGAAAG